UGUGCUAAUACCGCAUAAUCUCUGAGGAGAAAAGUAGGGGAUCGCAAGACCUUGCGCUUUUGGAGCGGCCGAUGUCUGAUUAGCUUGUUGGUGAGGUAAAGGCUUACCAAGGCUUCGAUCAGUAGCUGGUCUGAGAGGACGGCCAGCCACACUGGGACUGAGACACGGCCCAGACUCCUACGGGAGGCAGCAGUGGGGAAUUUUGGACAAUGGGGGCAACCCUGAUCCAGCCAUGCCGCGUGAGUGAAGAAGGCCUUCGGGUUGUAAAGCUCUUUCAGCCGGAACGAAACGGUUACGAUUAAUACCCGUAACUACUGACGGUACCGGAAGAAGAAGCACCGGCUAACUACGUGCCAGCAGCCGCGGUAAUACGUAGGGUGCGAGCGUUAAUCGGAAUUACUGGGCGUAAAGCGUGCGCAGGUGGUUUUGUAAGUCAGAUGUGAAAUCCCCGGGCUUAACCUGGGAACUGCGUUUGAAACUACAAGGCUAGAGUGUGGCAGAGGGGGGUGGAAUUCCGCGUGUAGCAGUGAAAUGCGUAGAGAUGUGGAGGAACACCGAUGGCGAAGGCAGCCCCCUGGGUCAACACUGACGCUCAGGCACGAAAGCAUGGGGAGCAAACAGGAUUAGAUACCCUGGUAGUCCAUGCCCUAAACGAUGUCAACUAGUUGUCGGGUCUUAACGGGCUUGGUAACGUAGCUAACGCGUGAAGUUGACCGCCUGGGGAGUACGAUCGCAAGAUUAAAACUCAAAGGAAUUGACGGGGACCCGCACAAGCGGUGGAUUAUGUGGAUUAAUUCGAUGCAACGCGAAAAACCUUACCUACCCUUGACAUGUAUUGGAGCCCGCAGAGAUGUGGGUGUGCCCGAAAGGGAACGAUAACACAGGUGCUGCAUGGCUGUCGUCAGCACGUGUCGUGAGAUGUUGGGUUAAGUCCCGCAACGAGCGCAACCCUUGUCAUUAAUUGCCAUCAUUUAGUUGGGCACUUUAAUGAGACUGCCGGUGACAAACCGGAGGAAGGUGGGGAUGACGUCAAGUCCUCAUGGCCCUUAUGGGUAGGGCUUCACACGUAAUACAAUGGCGCGUACAGAGGGUUGCCAACCCGCAAGGGNNNGCUAAUCUCAG
RNAcentral lists this ribosomal RNA (1122 nucleotides) under uncultured beta proteobacterium. Its description in RNAcentral is "bacterial SSU rRNA". It matches the Rfam family "Bacterial small subunit ribosomal RNA", at positions 159 to 1277 of the family's 1533-position model. The record is from RNAcentral. Lineage: Bacteria; Pseudomonadati; Pseudomonadota; Betaproteobacteria.